AUUGAACGCUGGCGGCAUGCUUUACACAUGCAAGUCGAACGGUAACAGCACUUCGGUGGCUGACGAGUGGCGAACGGGUGAGUAAUACAUCGGAACGUGCCUAGUAGUGGGGGAUAACUACUCGAAAGAGUAGCUAAUACCGCAUGAGAUCUAAGGAUGAAAGCAGGGGACCUUCGGGCCUUGCGCUACUAGAUCGGCUGAUGGCAGAUUAGGUAGUUGGUGGGAUAAAAGCUUACCAAGCCGGCGAUCUGUAGCUGGUCUGAGAGGACGACCAGCCACACUGGGACUGAGACACGGCCCAGACUCCUACGGGAGGCAGCAGUGGGGAAUUUUGGACAAUGGGCGCAAGCCUGAUCCAGCAAUGCCGCGUGCAGGAUGAAGGCCUUCGGGUUGUAAACUGCUUUUGUACGGAACGAAAAGCCCUCUUCUAAUACAGGAGGGUCAUGACGGUACCGUAAGAAUAAGCACCGGCUAACUACGUG
RNAcentral lists this ribosomal RNA (482 nucleotides) under uncultured bacterium. Its description in RNAcentral is "partial 16S ribosomal RNA". It matches the Rfam family "Bacterial small subunit ribosomal RNA", at positions 30 to 507 of the family's 1533-position model. The record is from RNAcentral.